GAUGAACGCUGGCGGCGUGCCUAAUACAUGCAAGUCGAGCGAACGGACGAGAAGCUUGCUUCUCUGAUGUUAGCGGCGGACGGGUGAGUAACACGUGGAUAACCUACCUAUAAGACUGGGAUAACUUCGGGAAACCGUAGCUAAUACCGGAUAAUAUUUUGAACCGCAUGGUUAAAAAUUGAAAGACGGUCUUGCUGUCACUUAUAGAUGGAUCCGCGCUGCAUUAGCUAGUUGGUAAGGUAACGGCUUACCAAGGCAACGAUGCAUAGCCGACCUGAGAGGGUGAUCGGCCACACUGGAACUGAGACACGGUCCAGACUCCUACGGGAGGCAGCAGUAGGGAAUCUUCCGCAAUGGGCGAAAGCCUGACGGAGCAACGCCGCGUGAGUGAUGAAGGUCUUCGGAUCGUAAAACUCUGUUAUUAGGGAAGAACAUAUGUGUAAGUAACUGUGCACAUCUUGACGGUACCUAAUCAGAAAGCCACGGCUAACUACGUG
This 497-nucleotide ribosomal RNA is filed under the name uncultured bacterium. RNAcentral describes it as "partial 16S ribosomal RNA". It matches the Rfam family "Bacterial small subunit ribosomal RNA", at positions 28 to 507 of the family's 1533-position model. The record is from RNAcentral.